AUUGAACGCUGGCGGCAGGCCUAACACAUGCAAGUCGAACGGUAACAGGAAACAGCUUGCUGUUUCGCUGACGAGUGGCGGACGGGUGAGUAAUGUCUGUGAAACUGCCUGAUGGAGGGGGAUAACUACUGGAAACGGUAGCUAAUACCGCAUAACGUCGCAAGACCAAAGAGGGGGACCUUCGGGCCUCUUGCCAUCGGAUUUGCCCAGAUGGGAUUAGCUAGUAGGUGGGGUAACGGCUCACCUAGGCGACGAUCCCUAGCUGGUCUGAGAGGAUGACCAGCCACACUGGAACUGAGACACGGUCCAGACUCCUACGGGAGGCAGCAGUGGGGAAUAUUGCACAAUGGGCGCAAGCCUGAUGCAGCCAUGCCGCGUGUAUGAAGAAGGCCUUCGGGUUGUAAAGUACUUUCAGCGGGGAUGAAGGGAGUAAAGUUAAUACCUUGGCUCAUUGACGUUACCCGCAGAAGAAGCACCGGCUAACUCCGUG
Molecule: ribosomal RNA, 490 nt
Filed under: uncultured bacterium
Lineage: Bacteria
Description: partial 16S ribosomal RNA
Rfam family: Bacterial small subunit ribosomal RNA
Source: RNAcentral